UAUCUAUUUUAAUGGUGUUGGUUGCGGCCUCCGGGGGUUCUCCCCCCGGGUGGUAGAGGUAACACUCUCACGCGCCACAUGCCUUAAUCCUUUUUUUACGAGCACCUUUCGUUCUCCUUCGGUGGGGCAACCUGCCGCUGGAACUUAUCAAAAACCUUUUUUUGCAUCUAGCAUUACCUGUUCUGAUACAAACAAUCGUUACAACUUUCAACAAUGGAUCUCUUGGCUCUGGCAUCGAUGAAGAACGCAGCGAAAUGCGAUAAGUAGUGUGAAUUGCAGAAUUCAGUGAAUCAUCGAAUCUUUGAACGCACAUUGCGCCCCUUGGUAUUCCAUGGGGCAUGCCUGUUCGAGCGUCAUCUACACCCUCAAGCUCUGCUUGGUGUUGGGCGUCUGUCCCGCCUCUGCGCGCGGACUCGCCCCAAAUUCAUUGGCAGCGGUCCUUGCCUCCUCUCGCGCAGCACAUUGCGCUUCUCGAGGUGCGCGGGCCGCGUCCACGAAGCAACAUUACCGUCUUUGACCUCGGAUCAGGUAGGGAUACCCGCUGAACUUAAGCAUAUCAAUAAGCGGAGGAAAAGAAACCAACAGGGAUUGCCCUAGUAACGGCGAGUGAAGCGGCAACAGCUCAAAUUUGAAAUCUGGCUCUCUUUGGGGGUCCGAGUUGUAAUUUGCAGAGGAUGCUUUGGCAUUGGCGGCGGUCUAAGUUCCUUGGAACAGGACAUCGCAGAGGGUGAGAAUCCCGUACGUGGGCGCCUGCCUUUGCCGUGUAAAGCUCCUUCGACGAGUCGAGUUGUUUGGGAAUGCAGCUCUAAAUGGGAGGUAAAUUUCUUCUAAAGCUAAAUACCGGCCAGAGACCGAUAGCGCACAAGUAGAGUGAUCGAAAGAUGAAAAGUACUUUGGAAAGAGAGUCAAAAAGCACGUGAAAUUGUUGAAAGGGAAGCGCUUGCAGCCAGACUUGCCCGCAGUUGCUCACCUAGGCUUUGGCCUGGGGCACUCUUCUGUGGGCAGGCCAGCAUCAGUUUGGGCGGUUGGAUAAAGGCCUCUGUCACGUAUCUUCCUUCGGGAAGACCUUAUAGGGGAGGCGUAAUGCAACCAGCCCGGACUGAGGUCCGC
RNAcentral lists this ribosomal RNA (1110 nucleotides) under fungal endophyte. RNAcentral's name for it is "eukaryotic LSU rRNA". The stretch from base 515 to 1110 matches the Rfam family "Eukaryotic large subunit ribosomal RNA", at positions 1 to 599 of the family's 3401-position model. The record is from RNAcentral. Lineage: Eukaryota; Fungi.